RNAcentral lists this ribosomal RNA (422 nucleotides) under Verrucomicrobiota bacterium. Its description in RNAcentral is "Verrucomicrobia bacterium partial 16S ribosomal RNA". It matches the Rfam family "Bacterial small subunit ribosomal RNA", at positions 355 to 776 of the family's 1533-position model. Lineage: Bacteria; Pseudomonadati; Verrucomicrobiota. The record is from RNAcentral.
UGGGGAAUUUUGCACAAUGGGCGCAAGCCUGAUGCAGCGACGCCGCGUGAGGGAUGAAGGCCUUCGGGUUGUAAACCUUUUUCGCUCAUGGUCAAGCCGCAGCUUUGGGUUGUGGUGAGGGUAGUGGGUAAAGAAGCGCCGGCUAACUACGUGCCAGCAGCCGCGGUAAUACGUAGGGCGCGAGCGUUGUCCGGAAUUAUUGGGCGUAAAGGGCUUGUAGGCGGUUGGCCGCGUCUGCCGUGAAAUCCUCUGGCUUAACUGGGGGCGUGCGGUGGGUACGGGUUGACUUGAGUGCGGUAGGGGAGGCUGGAAUUCCUGGUGUAGCGGUGGAAUGCGCAGAUAACAGGAGGAACACCGGUGGCGAAGGCGGGUCUCUGGGCCGUUACUGACGCUGAGGAGCGAAAGCGUGGGGAGCGAACAGG